Molecule: ribosomal RNA, 301 nt
Filed under: uncultured bacterium
Lineage: Bacteria
Description: partial 16S ribosomal RNA
Rfam family: Bacterial small subunit ribosomal RNA
Source: RNAcentral
CAGUAGCCGCGGGAAUACGAAGGGGGCUAGCGUUGCUCGGAAUUACUGGGCGUAAAGGGAGCGUAGGCGGGUCGUUUAGUCAGAGGUGAAAUCCCGGGGCUCAACCUCGGAACUGCCUUUGAUACUGGCGACCUUGAGUAUGGGAGAGGUGAGUGGAACUCCGAGUGUAGAGGUGAAAUUCGUAGAUAUUCGGAAGAACACCAGUGGCGAAAGCGACUCACUGGCCCAUUACUGACGCUGAGGCUCGAAAGCGUGGGGAGCAAACAGGAUUAGAUACCCCCGUAGUCCCUGUCUCUUAUAC